RNA transcript from Cyanidioschyzon merolae strain 10D, 1971 nucleotides. RefSeq lists it as hypothetical. The transcript has a single exon. Lineage: Eukaryota; Rhodophyta; Bangiophyceae; Cyanidiales; Cyanidiaceae. The record is from RefSeq and is a predicted model, not a curated record.
CUACUGCGGGCGCUUUUCGACGGUAUGUAGGUGCUGCGCACUCGCUGACACACGGAGUUGCGUGAUGAUGAUUUGCGUUCGAUGAAUCUAAGCAAGUCGUUCCUGAGUGCUCAGGUGUUACCAGAGGCAAGCGAAAGAGACCUCAGUGUUGUCGGCUUCGCUUCUGCGUGCCAUAAACGCCGGAGGUUUAUUUUCUUGAAUUUGUGGAAGCUACAGCACGCUGUCAAUUGGCUGAUGCGUUCAGGUCGACGAAUCUAACGAGGUUCCAAUCGCAUAUUAAAGUGUUGCCAGAGGGAAAGUCGAAUGGAUCUAGAUCCCGUUGUGUACGCUACUGUGCAGCAUAACAACCAGAGAUUUAUUUUCUUGAUGAAUAGAAGAAGGAGAGAUGCAGCGGCGUGCUGCGUUUCGAGCGCAUUCCAAACGCUCGCUGCGAGGUAAGCUGCACCUCUACAGCGGUUGCCGCACAGGGACGGAAUGGCUCUGUGUGUACCUUGACGGGUUUCGGCUCGCAACGUGGGUCACCGGUCGACGAGUCGUUACUCGCCAUCGUUCAGUCAUUCGGGAGGCGUCAAGAGAGACCUGCUGGUGAAUGCGGCGCAAAACAACACGCUGCCUGACCACAGCGAACAGGGCGACGCCUAGACGCAGGCCGCCGCGUCCUAGCCCCAGAAAAAGCUGCGUUAAGGAUGAUUUGCGCAGGUCUCACUACAGCGCACCAGACCAGCGGGGUCGUCUGCCUCGCGGGGCUAACCGCCCAGAAGGUAAACGCUGGAAUACACGGAAAACUAUUCCAUUUUCAUAUCUCGCCUUUGAGGGAAAAGAAACAGAUAAUUAGCUGCUAGUUCGUACUUUGCUUCUGCCUCUCUCGUAUCCCGACAUGAUGCGUUCCGCGCUGGCGCGUCUCCCGCACAGCACGCCUGGGAACGCGUGCCGAGCGUCGCCGCAGCGGCGCUAGGCGUUCGUUGCUGCUCAUGAUGACGCCGUCACGAGACGGUAAACCGGAAGAAGCGCACCGUUCGGCUGAAAGCGCGAGUUCUGGGGAAGGGUUUCGUUCCUGGAGAGCCCUUACCCGAAGGAACUGGACAACUUUCGGUGGUAUUUUGGCGCUAACCGCAUCUGUCUACGUGUAUACCCUAUAUCGAAUGCGUUCCACGGCGCCUGGGGAUCUUCGCAAAACGCUGCCGUUGCCGCCUUCCGAUGAAAAAACGGACAAGUAGCAACAUGCUAUCGUUCAUCUCUUUGAAGAUCGUUUAUUGUGACAGAACGAAGUCUCACGCACUGCACUGAUGGUGGACGGCGCUCGCCACGCAGUGCAACGGCGAACGACACGGACACGCCGUUCAAGAGUCGAGUUCCACACUGGCCCGACACUCGGUCAGGUUUUCGUGCAGCGUUCACGCGAACUUUGAAAAGCGAUAUCCGAUAACGUUGGUAGCGCUCUGAAGUCGCGUGUAUUUUGAAGAUCGGCGCGUUUGUACCUCGGUGCGCCAAAACGUCGCAGAAAAGCAUGCGCUUCUUCGACGCCGCUGGCGCCUCAGCUGUGCACAACUCUGUCCACGCGUAAGGACGCGAAUGAGCGGGCAUAAAGAGUGCAGUACAAGCGAUCGGGCCGUACUGUCGUAAUACAUUUGGCCUUGGUUUCGCAUGCGUUUCGGGUACGAGAACGUGCCGGUGGUCAGCAACCACUGGAUGAUGUAGCGUACGCGAUCAUUGCUCUUUUCCAGGAUGAUCGUGAAGCUUUACGAAUAUUGCUGGUAAGGAUUCGACGCGUGCGCGUUGUUGCGACCAUAUCCCGGGUACUGGUAUGUUGCGUGUGUCGCUCAGGGACGGGUUCAGGUGCAUGGAAACUUUGCGCAUGGUGGAAUGUCUUCGCGGAUGGGUUGCUUCUAGAGCCAGCAGUGCGAUGCGUCCAGUCCGUCCCGAACCAUACCCCCGUCAUCCUUGGUAAAGAAACGUUCCAUUUGGGGCGAU